Molecule: long non-coding RNA, 1430 nt
Filed under: Nicotiana tabacum (common tobacco)
Lineage: Eukaryota; Viridiplantae; Streptophyta; Magnoliopsida; Solanales; Solanaceae
Description: long non-coding RNA (NTAB_LNC005928)
Source: RNAcentral
CGCACCUAAAGGCUUUUCUACGAAUAUUAAUCUAUUCCUUAAAAAUGACUCUCCCUUUAUUUCACUAGUAAUGUGCCUUGCAAUUACUGUUGAAUAUAAACUUAGUCGAACCACUACAACUCUGACGUACAACAAAUUUAGCAUACAUUUUAAAACCAAUUGCAGUUGUGAUUUAAAACGUCCCAAAUCAAACAAACUUUCAACAAAGGCCCAAACAUUUCGAAAUCAUGCUUUCUGAUAAGCCAAAUACACUUUGAUCACACAAGAGCCAAUUUAAGCCCAUACGAUUUAUUUGAGUCGAACUCUUGCGCUCAAGGCCUGAAAGCAUUCAAACUCACGUUCAUAGCCUUACUUGGCCCACUCACGAGCCAGGCCUAAUUCAUUAAUAAAACAUGUCGGCUCACUGAAUAUAUUUAAAGUAAGUACAUAAAAUGAAUUUAUCUGAAAUAACAAGUUACACAAUCCAAUCAUAACAACUAAAUGAUCUGACUAUUCAUUAAUAAAAGAAAAACUUUGUAAAGAUGAUCCAUCCUUUAACUAAAAGCAACAAACUCCAUCCAGGGGGGGGGGGGUGUGUGAUUCCAAACGUGCUUGGAUUUGCAAGAGCAGCUAUAGAGCUAACUAACAAAUCUGCAUCUGAUUCAUUAUCGUAGCAGGCAGACAAAACUAAAGUUAGUACAGUUACAACCCCUUGUUUGUUUCAAUCACAUAAGGAAAGCUUAACAAAAACAUGUCCAACUCCCUUUAAAACUAUAUCACGGAUUUCACUAAUUAGUCUACUAUGUUAAAUUACAAAACAAUAAAAUGGGAGCAGGUUUUUACCCUCACAUGGACCCUUAUAGGUUAUUCUAAACAUGCUGGACCUUUCACAGUCUAUCCUACAACUUGAAAGAAAACUUUAAACUUAAACAAUGGGAAGAGAAGAAGUCACAAAUGAUUAAUCUACCCAUAUAACAAGAAUCACACUAAUUUUCAAACAAGGGUUUGAAUCAGAUUCAUAUUAGCUUACCAAUACUCACUUGAAGUCCAUUCCUUGAACAAUCAUUCCAUUUCAUAAAAAGAAAACCAUUGCACGAGAAAUGAACUGGAAAGAGUACCUUGAAAGAGUAACAACAAAGAAACAACAGCCAAAGUAAUAUGAAAAAAACCAGCAACAAUGACUCAACACAGCAGUAGGGAUCAGUGAUGAAAAACCCAGCAAAACAGCUUUAAACCAGCCAAAUUUCAGCUUAGAAGCCCAAAAAAACCAUGUAAGCCUUUUAAAAUUCAUAAAGAAGACCCAGAAAACCAACCAAGUAAUGUAAAAAAACCUUUUUCUCUGAAAUUCUGAUGUGUUUUUAGUAUUUUUGGUGCAGAGAAUGAUGCCUCAGGUCUGUUUUUUAGAAUGAAGAAAAGGGCAUUAUUUUAUAGGCCUCUAAGGCCAUAUGCUC